UAUCUCCCCCAAGAGUCCACAUCGACGGGGAGGUUUGGCACCUCGAUGUCGGCUCAUCACAUCCUGGGGCUGUAGUAGGUCCCAAGGGUUGGGCUGUUCGCCCAUUAAAGUGGUACGCGAGCUGGGUUCAGAACGUCGUGAGACAGUUCGGUCCCUAUCCGUCGCAGGCGUAGGAAAUUUGAGAAGACCUGUCCUUAGUACGAGAGGACCGGGAUGGACGUACCUCUGGUGUACCAGUUGUUCUGCCAAGGGCAUGGCUGGGUAGCUAUGUACGGAAUGGAUAAGCGCUGAAAGCAUCUAAGCGCGAAGCCAACUUCAAGAUAAGAUUUCCCACCGCAAGGGUAAGACCCCAGAAAGACUAUCUGGUUGAUAGGUCGAAGGUGUAAGUGCAGCAAUGUAUUUAGCUUAUCGAUACUAAUAGGUCGAGGACUUGACCAAAUU
Molecule: ribosomal RNA, 441 nt
Filed under: Clostridioides difficile
Lineage: Bacteria; Bacillati; Bacillota; Clostridia; Peptostreptococcales; Peptostreptococcaceae
Description: partial 23S ribosomal RNA
Rfam family: Bacterial large subunit ribosomal RNA
Source: RNAcentral